GUUUCAGAACAAACAAAAUACAGCGAGGACUCUAAUAAUGCAUCAUUUGAAAUCAAUGUUUUAAAGGAAAGAAAAAAUAAUAAUAACUAUGAGAAUGAGGGAAUACUGAAUAUAUGAUGUAGGGCUGAGAUUUGUUUACUCUUUUGCUGACUAGAAAAGAAAAUAAAACGAAUACAACUUGUUUGACCAAAAAAAAAAAGACGAAUACAACUUCUCUCAAAACAAGUUUUUAUUAUUUUUUGUUUUUAUGUGGGAAGAGUAAAGAAUACGCUUGAGAAACUAAUAUAUAAAUAUCAACCAAACUCUUGAGAAAUAUUUCAGUUUUCAUCUUCUUUCUCUCCCUCGCAGUUUUUCCUCUCUUAAGGUAUGAUAAAACUCGUCUACACGAAACCUAUUCGUCUCUCGCUUUGGUCCUUCUACUACUUCCGGGAAGAUUAUUUUAUUAAAAAUCUUACAAAACCCUAAUCCGAUUCGUCAGUAUAUUAAUUAGUCUGUUUAACUUCUAGGUCGAUAGAUGAUGUUUUAUUUGACUUACUUCGUUACUAGUUUUGACAUAAACCCUAUUUCAUUGACUCUCCUCUGUGUUCGUUUUUCUCUAUAGGUGCUAAAACGUUUCCAUCGAACAACAUGGAAUGUAACAAGGAUGAAGCUAAAAGGGCAAUGGAUAUUGCUGAGAAGAAACUCUCCGAGAAAGAUUACGUUGGCGCCAAGAAAUUUCUCACCAAGGCUCAAAACCUAUACCCUCACCUUGAUGGUUUGAAUCAAGUGUCUACGAUGAUCCAUGUUUACGUCUCAGCAGCAAACAAUAUCAACGGAGGAAAAGACUCUGACCUGUAUGGUGUUCUUGGUGUUGAUCCAUUGGCUGAUGACGAAGCUCUGAAGAAACAGUACAAGAAGCUGGCUCUUUUGCUUCAUCCUGAUAAGAACAAGUGUAAAGGUGCAGAAGGUGCGUUUAAGCAUGUUUUGAAUGCUUGGGCGCUGUUGUCUGACAAGGCUAAGAGAAGUGCUUAUGAUCGGAGGAGGAAGUUAAGUACCGGAAUGCAAAAACCACCUGCACCAAGCCAACAGAACAAGCCUCAAGGUUCUUCUAACGUUUAUCAAAAUGUGUAUACAAGUGCUAACACUAGAAGUAACCAGCCUGGAAGUGGACCGCAGAGACCACCACCGUAUGUACCCAAGACAGCUUCUGCAAGUGGACCGCAAAGACCAACGUAUGCACCCAAGCCAGCUUCUUCUAGUGGUAAUCCAAAUGCUAGUAGAAACGGUGUGCCUCCAAAUGGUAACACUAGAAGUAAUCAUCCUCCAAGUGGGCCGCAGAAUCCGCACAAACCAGCUUCUUCUAACGUGAAUCAAAAUGCUAGAUAUGGUAUGGAUCCAAAUGCUAAGGCUACAAGUAAUAAGCCUGCUCCUGCUCCUGCACGUACUUAUGCUCCUGGUCCUUCUCCUGCUCCUGGUCCUGGUCCUGGUCCUGCUCCUACGCCUGCGAAUUCAUCAAAACAGAUGUUUUGGACAAUGUGCAAUGGGUGCAAGAGACAAAGCGAGUGUCAGAGGGAUCUUUAUCAAAACAAGACCAUGCGUUGUCAAAACUGUGGACAGAGUUACAUUGCAACCGAGCAGAAUCCAUGGGACCAUUAUGUGAGGCAAUUGAACAGGGCAUUAUAUAUGAUUGGACUACGACAAUGGAGUAGUAGUAGUAGUAGUGCUCAUCAAAAUCAAGCAGCGAACAAAAACACAAACGGAGCUUCUGGUGCAACCAAGAAAAAUCAUCCAUGGGAAAGUCAUGUGAGUCAAAUCAACCGCACACUGUCUCUUGUUGUGCUGCGACAAGCACAUUGGAAUGCACAAAAUCAAGCAGCAAAGACCAACAACGGAGGUGGUCCAGUUCCAGACUCCAAGUUUACUUUGCAGCAAGUAUUCUCGACAUUUUCUUCAAUUCUACAACUACAACAACAAUGGAGUGCAGCAGAAAAGAACAAUGGGAGGAAAGGUGCACAUGCAAGUUUUGUGUCUCCGGGCGUCAACCUCUCAUCAUCAUCUCCUCAACAACAACAACAAUGUGGUGGUGGUACUUAUUAUCCUUCAUCUUCUGGUAGUGUCCACCACAAGUCUUCAGUGUCAAUACCUUCUAGUAGCGGAAAUGCCGCAAGUCAAGCAAAAGAAAGAUCUAAAAGAGGACUUGAGGAGGAUUCACAAGAAACGAUUGCUGCUGCUAUUGAGAGUGUUUCUAAGAAGCUGAGGAAAGAUCAUGUGGUUUAACAAGUAAAGAGUUAAUUACCAAGUUCCUACUUUUAUCCUUUAAAAGGAUUAUUUAUGAUAAUGUUAUGAAUCUUUUUUCAUCUCUAUGCUAAAAUAUUUUAGAUAAGUUAUCUACUUUCAUGGUCAAUGAGUUUUUUUUUAAUCCAAAUUACAUUUGUUCCUCUUUGUCACAUAUAUAUAGAUAUUUCUGAGCUCAUUUUGCGCCUAGUACAGUAUGUUCUUAUCUACUGGGGAAAAUUGUUUCUCUAUUCUGUUAAUAGCUGCUGAUCACCACUGCUUGAAGGAUAAGAAACCUGGUCUGGAACUUUAUUGUUGUCUAUAUACGGUCUGAAACAUCUUAAGAGUUUAUAUAUAUAGCAGCUCUGAGUCCAUUACUCCUUCAGCCUAUGUGGUCAGUUGCUUAAGAGAAGGGAUGUGUUUACUAGAUAGUUUUAGAUAUGAUCAAUCGGAGCCAGUCACCAGGCUUAGUAAAAGCAGAGCUGAUACUUAUUCUCCAGAAGAUGGUUUGAGCCUGAUUCUUCAUCAGAAAAGAUAAGGUAAGGGAGUACUAGCUAGAACAUCAUGUUUGUUUCUUUUUUAAGUAUAUUAACGCUAAUUGCAUUUCUAUCUCCAUGUCACUGUCGUCUGUUCUCUGAUCUGUGUGGCCUUUUAAUGAUUUUCUGUCUUCCAAGAUGAAAGGAUAUGUGGAAUCAAAACGUAGAACAUCAUCAUCCUACAUAAGAUCAGAAGUUUUUCAAAAAAGGUUCAGUCUUCUAUGUUGGAUCAAUCAAGUUGCAAACUACGGCUAUAUAUGUGUGUUUGUGAAAUAAUAUAUGAAACAAAACCAAGCCAAACAAGCAUCAACGUUAGUCUACUUGGUACGUCUUGAUUUAUUGGACUCACAUUUAGUGAAAGACAUAUGUGGGUAUAAGUUAUCAAAUGUUACUUUUAAGACAUGCAUUUGAUCAACCAAAAAAUUGACAUGAUUUUGAUUAACUCUAAUUACAUGUUACAUCAAAUUUGUAUGUAUAUAUAUAUAUAUAUGUGUAUAAAUUUGAAAGCCUUUGUAUAAGUAGAUAGUACGAGCAUAUUUUCUGCUAGAGUAUUAUGUCGUUGCUCAAAAGAUAUUUCUCAUAUAUAGUUCAUGUUGGGAAAUUGUCCAAAGUUUUAAUAGUAGCUUGUCAUAACAUGUUUCAUGAUUAAAAAAAGCACAUAACAGAAAGAAUAUUAAGCUUUGAUGAUCGUAAGAUUUACCCUUAGAGCUCUACUUUCUCUUGCAGGGUUGCAAGAGGAACGGUAGCUUUAAAAUCAAAAGAUGCGAAGCAACAACAAAAUAACUUAUUGGGCCGGGCUUGAAUACAUCCAGAUAAGGGUGUGACAAAAUAACUCGCGAGAAACAAAGAGAGAGGGAAAAUAGCGCGGGAAAGAGAGAGAGGGAAAAAUAGCUAAUUAGUUUCACUUUCCAUCCCCCAACUCUUAAAACGUUUGACGUUUACCCCAAUUAUUUUUACGAAAUCAGAAUUAGUCUCCUAAACGUUUCAUUAUAAUCGAGAGGCUCUUCGUUCAUCUUCUUCUCUUUCCGUUUCUCGCUUCUCUUUAGAAAAAAAUCGAAUCUUGCAGCAAAAUGAAAUGACCAAAAAAUAACUAAUAGUUUCACUUAAACGUUUGACGUUUACCCCAAUUAGUUUGACGUUUCAGAAUUAAUCUCCUAAUCAGCUGUCAUUAUAAUCGAGGCGCUUCGUUGCUCUUCUUCUUUCUUCUUCCGUUUCUCGCUUCUCUGGGUUUUAUAAAAAAUCGAAUCUUGCAGCAAACUGAAAUGGUCAAAUAAAAAAGUUAAGGUCUUCCUACUUAUCGAGACAGGUGAGA
Molecule: RNA transcript, 4101 nt
Organism: Brassica rapa (field mustard)
Lineage: Eukaryota; Viridiplantae; Streptophyta; Magnoliopsida; Brassicales; Brassicaceae
Gene name: putative mediator of RNA polymerase II transcription subunit 26
Source: RefSeq, a predicted model, not a curated record